This 2118-nucleotide ribosomal RNA is filed under the name Triticum aestivum (bread wheat). RNAcentral's name for it is "partial small subunit ribosomal RNA". Lineage: Eukaryota; Viridiplantae; Streptophyta; Magnoliopsida; Poales; Poaceae. The record is from RNAcentral.
AUGGGAGGAAUCCUUAAACAUUGCCGAGACACGCAAGUGGCACCGAUCCCUUCCUUCGUCCCCUUCCCCUUGCUUGCUUAUCCUCUUGUGCUCCUCGUUCCAGUCGGUCGUUCUCCCCAAGACCUCCAGGCUCCAACCACCACUCCGACUCCAGAUUCCUUCUCCAAACUAACUCAACUCCCACCCCGAAGACUAGCCGGUGCUCGUGCCGUGCCCUUCACUGUUUCCGGUUGGACUUUGGACCCUACGUAUCCAGAUCUACAAGUUUCCCUCCAUAUAUUCAGCUUCCGAGCAGAGUAUCCCAGCCCCAACCUGCCGUUCUCUCGCGCGCCGAUCGGACCGGAGGCUCGCCGUUCCACCAUGGCAGAGGCGGGCGACCCCACCCUGGAGCAGGGGCUCCUCGCUAACCCGGAGGAAUCCAACCAACUUACAUACACUGGAGACGGAUCCGUCGACUUUUCUGGAAACCCUGUCGUGAAGGAGAAAACUGGUAGAUGGAAGGCAUGCCCAUUCAUCUUGGGUAAUGAAUGCUGCGAGCGGUUGGCCUAUUAUGGCAUCUCGACAAACCUUGUUACUUACUUGACGAAAAAACUACAUGAUGGUAACUCCUCUGCUGCUAGAAAUGUGACUACAUGGCAGGGAACUUGCUAUUUGACUCCCCUUAUUGGAGCUAUCCUGGCUGAUGCAUACUGGGGGAGGUAUUGGACGAUCGCAACGUUCUCCACAAUAUACUUCAUUGGGAUGUCAGUACUGACUCUGUCAGCAUCAGUUCCUAUGCUCAUGCCUCCAUCUUGUGAAGGAGCCAUUUGCCCAGAAGCCAGUCCUUUGCAGUAUACCGUAUUUUUUCUUGGUCUUUACCUGAUUGCGCUCGGUACUGGUGGAAUCAAGCCAUGUGUCUCAUCUUUUGGAGCGGAUCAAUUUGAUGACACAGAUCCAGCUGAGCGAAUCCAGAAGGGGUCUUUCUUCAAUUGGUUCUAUUUUUCAAUAAACAUUGGUGCUCUUAUAUCAAGCAGUUUUCUGGUUUGGGUGCAAGACAAUUUAGGAUGGGGAUUAGGCUUUGGCAUUCCGACAGUAUUCAUGGGUCUUGCCAUCAUAAGCUUCUUCGCUGGCACCUCACUCUACAGAUUCCAAAAGCCAGGUGGCAGUCCUAUCACACGAGUAUGCCAGGUAGUUGCUGCCACUUUGCGCAAGUGGAAUGCACAUGUUCCAGAGGACAGCUCUCUCUUGUAUGAGCUACCAGAUGGGGUUUCAGCAAUCGAAGGGAGUCGGCAAUUGGAGCACACUGAUGAACUCAGAUGUCUGGACAGGGCAGCUACAAUUACUGAUCUUGAUGUGAAAGAAGAUAGCUUCAACAACCCAUGGCGGGUAUGCACUGUCACCCAGGUGGAAGAACUGAAGAUAUUGGUUAGGAUGUUCCCUGUCUGGGCAACGACAAUUGUCUUCUCGGCUGUCUACGCUCAGAUGUCCACCAUGUUUGUGGAACAAGGGAUGGUGCUUGAUCCAACAAUCGGCUCAUUCAAGAUCCCUCCAGCAUCUCUAUCCACCUUUGACGUGGUUAGUGUCAUUAUAUGGGUUCCUAUCUACGACAGCAUCCUGGUCCCGAUAGCCAGGAGGUUCACCGGCAAGGAGAGGGGCUUUUCAGAGCUGCAGCGGAUGGGCAUCGGCCUGGUAAUCUCCAUCCUAGCAAUGUCAGCAGCCGCGGUCCUCGAGAUAAAGAGGCUGGCCAUCGCCAGGGAGGCGCACCUGGUGGACCAGAACGUCCCGGUUCCGCUGAGCAUCCUGUGGCAAAUCCCUCAGUACUUCCUGGUCGGCGCCUCGGAGGUGUUCACCUUCAUCGGGGCGCUCGAGUUCUUCUACGACCAGUCGCCGGACGCCAUGAGGAGCCUCUGCAGCGCGCUGCAGCUCAUCACCACCGCGCUCGGGAACUACCUCAGCGCCUUCAUCCUCACGAUGGUCGCCUACUUCACGACCAGGGGAGGGAGACCCGGGUGGAUCCCCGACAACCUGAACGAGGGGCGUCUCGAUUACUUCUUCUGGCUGCUCGCGGGGCUCAGCUUUCUCAACUUUUUGGUGUACGUGCUGUGCGCCAACAGGUUCAAGAGCAAGAAAGCGGCUUGA